RNAcentral lists this ribosomal RNA (464 nucleotides) under uncultured bacterium. RNAcentral's name for it is "bacterial SSU rRNA". It matches the Rfam family "Bacterial small subunit ribosomal RNA", at positions 339 to 795 of the family's 1533-position model. The record is from RNAcentral.
CUACGGGUUGCAGCAGUAGGGAAUCUUCCGCAAUGGGCGAAAGCCUGACGGAGCAACGCCGCGUGUGCGAGGAAGGUCUUCGGAUCGUAAAGCACUGUUGUUAAGGAAGAACGACAGUAAGAGUAACUGUUUACUGUGUGACGGUACUUAACCAGAAAGCCACGGCUAACUACGUGCCAGCAGCCGCGGUAAUACGUAGGUGGCAAGCGUUAUCCGGAAUUAUUGGGCGUAAAGCGCGCGUAGGCGGCGAGAUUAGUCUGAUGUGAAAGCCCCCGGCUCAACCGGGGAAGGUCAUUGGAAACUGUUUCGCUUGAGUGCGGAAGAGGAGAGUGGAAUUCCAUGUGUAGCGGUGAAAUGCGCAGAGAUAUGGAGGAACACCAGUGGCGAAGGCGGCUCUCUGGUCUGCAACUGACGCUGAUGUGCGAAAGCGUGGGGAUCAAACAGGAUUAGAUACCCUAGUAGUC